GAUGAACGCUGGCGGCGUGCCUAACACAUGCAAGUCGAGCGGCAGCGCGAGUAGUUUACUACUUGGCGGCGAGCGGCGAACGGCUGAGUAACGCGUGGGAAUUUGCCCCAAAGUGAGGAAUAACUGCCCGAAAGGGUGGCUAAUGCCGCAUAUGAUCUUCGGAUUAAAGGAUUUAUCCGCUUUGGGAGAAGCCCGCGUCGGAUUAGGUAGUUGGUGAGGUAAUGGCUCACCAAGCCGACGAUCCGCAGCUGGUCUGAGAGGAUGACCAGCCAGACUGGAACUGAGACACGGUCCAGACUCCUACGGGAGGCAGCAGUGAGGAAUCUUCCACAGUGGGCGAAAGCCUGAUGGAGCAACGCCGCGUGCAGGAUGAAGGCCUUCGGGUUGUAAACUGCUUUUAUAAGCGAGGAAUAUGACGGUAGCUUAUGAAGAGGUGUCAACCGCA
Molecule: ribosomal RNA, 445 nt
Filed under: TM7 phylum sp. oral taxon 346
Lineage: Bacteria; Candidatus Saccharimonadota
Description: bacterial SSU rRNA
Rfam family: Bacterial small subunit ribosomal RNA
Source: RNAcentral